Oryza meridionalis is the source of this 196-nucleotide non-coding RNA. The record is from Rfam. Lineage: Eukaryota; Viridiplantae; Streptophyta; Magnoliopsida; Poales; Poaceae.
GUCAAGCGCAACCAUGAGUUUCCGUAUCCAAUUUUAAUCGUCCGUAUUAUUUAAUUUUUUUUAUGGUUAGUAUUUUUUAUUAGAUUAUAAAAACAUGAAUAGUAAUUUAUGUGUGACUUAUGUUUUUUUUCUCUAAAAAAAUUAAAAUAAGACAAAUGAUUAAAAUUGGCAAUGGAAACUCAUGGCUACACUUAUU